GAGUUUGAUCCUGGCUCAGAGCGAACGCUGGCGGCAGGCCUAACACAUGCAAGUCGAGCGGAUGUAGCAAUACAUCAGCGGCAGACGGGAUAGUAACACGUGGGAACGUGCCCUUUGGUUCGGAAUAACUCGGCGAAAGCCGUGCUAAUACCGGAUAAGCCCUUACGGGGAAAGAUUUAUCGCCAUUGGAGCGGCCCGCGUCUGAUUAGCUAGUUGGUGAGGUAAUGGCUCACCAAGGCGACGAUCAGUAGCUGGUCUGAGAGGAUGAUCAGCCACACUGGGACUGAGACACGGCCCAGACUCCUACGGGAGGCAGCAGUGGGGAAUUUUGGACAAUGGGGGCAACCCUGAUCCAGCCAUUCCGCGUGAGUGAAGAAGGCC
Molecule: ribosomal RNA, 381 nt
Filed under: uncultured Alphaproteobacteria bacterium
Lineage: Bacteria; Pseudomonadati; Pseudomonadota; Alphaproteobacteria
Description: bacterial SSU rRNA
Rfam family: Bacterial small subunit ribosomal RNA
Source: RNAcentral